AGGGAACGCUGGCGGCAGGCCUAACACAUGCAAGUCGAGCGGAUGAAGGGAGCUUGCUCCUGGAUUCAGCGGCGGACGGGUGAGUAAUGCCUAGGAAUCUGCCUGGUAGUGGGGGAUAACGUCCGGAAACGGGCGCUAAUACCGCAUACGUCCUGAGGGAGAAAGUGGGGGAUCUUCGGACCUCACGCUAUCAGAUGAGCCUAGGUCGGAUUAGCUAGUUGGUGGGGUAAAGGCCUACCAAGGCGACGAUCCGUAACUGGUCUGAGAGGAUGAUCAGUCACACUGGAACUGAGACACGGUCCAGACUCCUACGGGAGGCAGCAGUGGGGAAUAUUGGACAAUGGGCGAAAGCCUGAUCCAGCCAUGCCGCGUGUGUGAAGAAGGUCUUCGGAUUGUAAAGCACUUUAAGUUGGGAGGAAGGGCAGUAAGUUAAUACCUUGCUGUUUUGACGUUACCAACAGAAUAAGCACCGGCCAACUUCGUG
RNAcentral lists this ribosomal RNA (484 nucleotides) under uncultured bacterium. RNAcentral's name for it is "partial 16S ribosomal RNA". It matches the Rfam family "Bacterial small subunit ribosomal RNA", at positions 31 to 507 of the family's 1533-position model. The record is from RNAcentral.